GAUGAACGCUAGCUACAGGCUUAACACAUGCAAGUCGCGGGGCAGCAUGGGGGUUGCUUGCAAUCCCCGAUGGCGACCGGCGCACGGGUGAGUAACGCGUAUCCAACCUGCCCUUCACCACGGGAUAACCCGGCGAAAGUCGGACUAAUACCGUAUGUUGUCCAUUGACGGCAUCCGAUUUGGACGAAAGGUUUGGCGGUGAAGGAUGGGGAUGCGUCCGAUUAGCUGGACGGCGGGGUGACGGCCCACCGUGGCGACGAUCGGUAGGGGUUCUGAGAGGAAGGUCCCCCACACUGGAACUGAGACACGGGCCAGACUCCUACGGGAGGCAGCAGUGAGGAAUAUUGGUCAAUGGGCGUAAGCCUGAACCAGCCAAGUAGCGUGCAGGAUGACGGCCCUAUGGGUUGUAAACUGCUUUUAUGCGGGGAUAAAGUGGCCCACGUGUGGGUUUUUGCAGGUACCGCAUGAAUAAGGACCGGCUAAUUCCGUG
Molecule: ribosomal RNA, 490 nt
Filed under: uncultured bacterium
Lineage: Bacteria
Description: partial 16S ribosomal RNA
Rfam family: Bacterial small subunit ribosomal RNA
Source: RNAcentral